UAAUCUGUGCAAGCAGUUCCCUGCAACUGAAGGGUGUGAGAGUGAUUUAAUCAAGGAAGUUUCAGUUCCUAGCAGCCAGAAAUUGUCUGUUGUGAAUGGAUCCACUGACUUUCCUUUCGAAAGAUCCAGUGUGGGUAGCUCUAAGAAGGUCUCAGAUGGAGUAAAAGCUGUUAAGAAAGUUGAGCAGCCCUAUGACCAAGUGGCUGUGUGUGGCCAGCUUGUUGGGAAGACAAUGGUGUUGGGACAGGACUGUCUCCAUUCUAAUUCUUUAAAUGAGCAGUCUGUGCUUCAGGGUCUGAGGACAGAUUUGGUUACUGGUGUGUCAGAGCAGAACAGUUGCUUGAGGAUGUGCGGGAGAGCAAGCAAACUCUCACCCUCAAACUCUUUGGAUUUGUGUGGUAUCACUUUAAGACAGAGUCCAGCCUUGGAAAUAAUAGCAGUUAAGGAUAUGAAAACUGGUGGACUGGCUCUGGUCUGGGGUAGUGCAAAUUACUUGCCUGGCUGGGAGGGGAAGGACUUGCUAAUAGCUGUUAGCACAGAGGGCCCACCCCAUCAGCCAGUGAAUUCUGUUAAGCAAGAGAAAUCAGGGUUUGAUCCUGCAGGACAAGGAGGAAAGAGAAAACUGAAUUUGGCAAAGGGAAGCCACAGGUUAACCCUAAAAUGCCCAAUCUCCAAUGGUAUUGAACCAAAGGUGUGGCAUGACAAACAUGAUUGUAACUGGACACUUGCAAUGGAUUUGUUGUUAUUGCUAAUGGUAAAUUUUGUAACUAACGUGUUGCUAUUACCACAAACUGUAAAAAUGUACAAUGUGCCUAAUCUUUUGGAGAAUCCCUUGAACAUGUUAAAAGGAAUACACGAGAACACACAUUAUGUUAAAAGGCCUUGUUAUACUGGUGUUUCACAGUUAAUGCCUAUAAACAGUAUUGGAACUUUUCACAGGGAAAAAGACAUUCCAGACGUAAUGUGCUGUAUGAAAAGGGAAACCGAGGCUGUCACGGAGUAUUGGGGGGACUCAGGGCCCUGCACCCCCGGCUUCCUGCGAUUCACCAUGACUCGCAGCCAGCCAGUAAAGCAGAAGGUUUAUUGGGAUGACAGGGAUACAGUCCAAGACAGGUCUUGCAGGCACAGACAACAGGGACCCCCUCAGUUAAGUCCAGCUUGGGGUCCCAGGGC
RNAcentral lists this long non-coding RNA (1173 nucleotides) under Chrysemys picta bellii (western painted turtle). Its description in RNAcentral is "lncRNA (ENSCPBG00000002570.1)". Lineage: Eukaryota; Metazoa; Chordata; Testudines; Emydidae. The record is from RNAcentral.